AGAGUUUGAUCCUGGCUCAGGACGAACGCUGGCGGCGUGCUUAACACAUGCAAGUCGAGCGAUGAAACGCCUUCGGGUGUGAAUUAGCGGCGAACGGGUGAGGAACACGUGAAGAAUCUGCCUUCAACUCUGGGAUAACUCCGGGAAACCGGGGCUAAUACCGGAUAUGAGCCUCGAUCGCAUGAUUGGGGCUGGAAAGUUUUUCGGUUGAAGAUGACUUCGCGGCCUAUCAGCUUGUUGGUGAGGUAAUGGCUCACCAAGGCGACGACGGGUAGCCGGCCUGAGAGGGCGACCGGCCACACUGGGACUGAGACACGGCCCAGACUCCUACGGGAGGCAGCAGUGGGGAAUAUUGGGCAAUGGAGGAAACUCUGACCCAGCGACGCCCGCGUGCGGGAUGAAGGCCUUCGGGUUGUACAACCUCUUUCAGUAGGGAAGAAGCGAACGUGACGGUCCCUACCGAAAGAAGCACCGGCUAACUAUGUGCCAGCAGCCCGCGGUAAUACAUAGGGUGCAAGCGUUGUCCGGAACUUAUUUGGGCGUAAAGAGCUCGUAGGUGGUUCGAUACGUCGGAUGUGAAAAUCANGGGCUCAAACCCCUGACCUGCAUCCGAUACGGUCGAGCUAUAGUUUUGGUAGGGGAGACUGGUAUUCCUGGUGUAGCGGUGGAAUGCGCAGAUAUCAAGAGGAACACCGAUGGCGAAGGCAGGUCUCUGGGCCAUUACUGACACUGAGAAGCGAAAGCGUGGGAAGCGACAGGAAUAAGAAUACCCUGGUAGUCCACGCCGUAAACGUGGCGCUAAUGGUGCGAACCUUCCCNNUUUGUGCGACGCACCUAACCAAUUAAGCGCCCCGCCUGGGGAGUACGAUC
RNAcentral lists this ribosomal RNA (870 nucleotides) under uncultured bacterium. RNAcentral's name for it is "bacterial SSU rRNA". It matches the Rfam family "Bacterial small subunit ribosomal RNA", at positions 8 to 887 of the family's 1533-position model. The record is from RNAcentral.